GGCUUUUGCUUUUAAAAGACUCGUGGAUUGAGUCAUAUUUAAAAAUUUUUCAGUAAAUGAGUAGUGUGUGACAUGGAAAACUGUUUAGAAUAGGUUUAUGAGAGGCUUAUAAAGAAUUAUUCUUUUUAAAAAAAUAAAUAAGCAUUUAGAUUUAUUUCAGGAAAAACUUUUGAUAUUGCAGUCAGUUGUCAGAACCCAUCUCUAAGUGGAUUUUAAACUCUAGGGCAAGCAUGUCAAACUCAAGACCUAUAGGCCGCAUGCAGCCCACAAUGAAUAUUUUGGCAGCCCAGCCAAUAUAACUAUGUAAGAAAUGUUUUAAUAAUUUUAUGACUUAAUUUUUAUAAUAUUCUGUUAUACAUAAUUAUUAAUAACAAGUUGCAAUGUUCGCUAAUGACUGAUUACUGUAAUCAUGUUGCAUUAAUUUCUCUUAAUACUCUAAGUGCACCAUUUCUCUCCACUAAUACUAGCAGUGAAUAUUUUGGCAGCCGAUUUCCACAUCAUCGGCUAGUUAGUCUUGUACUGACUUGUUUGGUGUGCGCCAACAGGAAAUAUUUUUAUUUCAGAGAAGAAAAAUAGGUUUAUUUGCAUUAUGCUUAUUAAUUUGUGCAGUUAUUCAGUGUCUGAUAAGUCAAUGUUCAAGAAAAAUUAUUAAUUUUUAUUAAAAUGUUCUAUUAUUUUAUAUUAACGAUUAAUCCUUUCUUUCAGCCCUUUGUGUUCAGCGUGUCUCUAUCAAGAUAAACCCACAUUUUUAUGAAAA
This is a long non-coding RNA of Pipistrellus kuhlii (Kuhl's pipistrelle), 757 nucleotides long. RefSeq lists it as uncharacterized. The record is from RefSeq and is a predicted model, not a curated record. The transcript has 2 exons. NCBI's taxonomy places the organism in Eukaryota, Metazoa, Chordata, Mammalia, Chiroptera, Vespertilionidae.